RNAcentral lists this ribosomal RNA (769 nucleotides) under Lactiplantibacillus paraplantarum. Its description in RNAcentral is "bacterial SSU rRNA". It matches the Rfam family "Bacterial small subunit ribosomal RNA", at positions 48 to 782 of the family's 1533-position model. Lineage: Bacteria; Bacillati; Bacillota; Bacilli; Lactobacillales; Lactobacillaceae. The record is from RNAcentral.
CUAAUACAUGCAAGUCGAACGAACUCUGGUAUUGAUUGGUGCUUGCAUCAUGAUUUACAUUUGAGUGAGUGGCGAACUGGUGAGUAACACGUGGGAAACCUGCCCAGAAGCGGGGGAUAACACCUGGAAACAGAUGCUAAUACCGCAUAACAACUUGGACCGCAUGGUCCGAGUUUGAAAGAUGGCUUCGGCUAUCACUUUUGGAUGGUCCCGCGGCGUAUUAGCUAGAUGGUGAGGUAACGGCUCACCAUGGCAAUGAUACGUAGCCGACCUGAGAGGGUAAUCGGCCACAUUGGGACUGAGACACGGCCCAAACUCCUACGGGAGGCAGCAGUAGGGAAUCUUCCACAAUGGACGAAAGUCUGAUGGAGCAACGCCGCGUGAGUGAAGAAGGGUUUCGGCUCGUAAAACUCUGUUGUUAAAGAAGAACAUAUCUGAGAGUAACUGUUCAGGUAUUGACGGUAUUUAACCAGAAAGCCACGGCUAACUACGUGCCAGCAGCCGCGGUAAUACGUAGGUGGCAAGCGUUGUCCGGAUUUAUUGGGCGUAAAGCGAGCGCAGGCGGUUUUUUAAGUCUGAUGUGAAAGCCUUCGGCUCAACCGAAGAAGUGCAUCGGAAACUGGGAAACUUGAGUGCAGAAGAGGACAGUGGAACUCCAUGUGUAGCGGUGAAAUGCGUAGAUAUAUGGAAGAACACCAGUGGCGAAGGCGGCUGUCUGGUCUGUAACUGACGCUGAGGCUCGAAAGUAUGGGUAGCAAACAGGAUUAGA